This 70-nucleotide transfer RNA is filed under the name Tetraphalerus bruchi. RNAcentral's name for it is "tRNA-Met". The record is from RNAcentral. Lineage: Eukaryota; Metazoa; Arthropoda; Insecta; Coleoptera; Ommatidae.
AAAAAGGUAAGCUAAAUAAGCUAAUGGGCUCAUACCCCAUACAUAAAGGUGAUAACUCCUUUCCUUUUUA